UCCGUCUUGACGACGGCAGUCUCGCUAGAGUACUGGCUUUCGCCGAGCAACUAACGACAGGGGUUGCGCUCGUUAAGGGACUUAACCCGACACUUCACAGCACGAGCUGACGACAGCCAUGCAGCACCUGUGCAUGUUCCGGUCUUGCGACUGUGGCUCUACUUUCAUAGAGUUGAUCCAUGCAUGUCAAAUCCAGGUAAGGUUCUUCGCGUUGCCUCGAAUUAAGCAACAUGCUCCACCGCUUGUGUGAGCCCCCGUCAAUUCCUUUGAGUUUCGGUCUUGCGACCGUACUCCCCAGGCGGAGUGUUUCACGCGUUAGCUGGGCCCCUGAUCCACGUAGACCAAGGGCGAACACUCAUCGUUUACGGCAUGGACUAC
Molecule: unclassified non-coding RNA, 378 nt
Filed under: uncultured Phycisphaeraceae bacterium
Lineage: Bacteria; Pseudomonadati; Planctomycetota; Phycisphaerae; Phycisphaerales; Phycisphaeraceae
Description: contains 16S-23S intergenic spacer region
Source: RNAcentral